UCGGGAAUUUUGGGCAAUGGGCGAAAGCCUGACCCAGCAACGCCGCGUGAGGGAUGAAGUAUUUCGGUAUGUAAACCUCGAAAGAAUGGGAAGAAUAAAUGACGGUACCAUUUAUAAGCUCCGGCUAACUACGUGCCAGCAGCCGCGGUAAUACGUAGGGAGCAAGCGUUGUUCGGAUUUACUGGGCGUAAAGGGCGCGUAGGCGGCGCGGUAAGUCACUUGUGAAAUCUCUGAGCUUAACUCAGAACGGCCAAGUGAUACUGCUGUGCUAGAGUGCGGAAGAGGCAACCGGAAUUCUUGGUGUAGCGGUCAAAUGCGUAGAUAUCAAGAGCAACACCUGAGGCGAAGGCGGGUUGCUGGGCCGACACUGACGCUGAUGCGCGAAAGCCAGGGGAGCAAACG
Molecule: ribosomal RNA, 402 nt
Filed under: uncultured bacterium
Lineage: Bacteria
Description: bacterial SSU rRNA
Rfam family: Bacterial small subunit ribosomal RNA
Source: RNAcentral